UUCAGUUGCAGGAAUUUAGCCAAUUCAGAGGUCUUGUUCUCCAUAAUUUGGAAUUUUCCUUCGGAUUUGAUCAAGUUGGAUAGAGUUGGUCAAACCCAAUGGGAAAAAGAUGAAAACAACAAGAAACAGAAACAAACAGCAACAACAACAACAACAAAAACAAGGGCAGCAGCUACCCACAAAUCAACAGCUGAGCAAGGCCAGGGCUGUGUGGGAGCUAUGCACAGGUUCUGCCUCCAGAAGCCUUCAGUGCCUGCCUCUGAGCCAGAGGGUUCCAAGCAGAAGAGGUCCCGCCCCCGGAGAGGGACCUCAGAGAGGUCCUCCAAGCCCCUCUCAGCUCUUACUUACGGCAUCCCAGAUGCCCUAUUCCUCUUCUGCAGAGAGAAGGUGGUUCAGCCACUAAAUGGUGCUGGGACCUCGCAGUUUGGUGGGAAGGAGGAAGCUUACUCAAGCAAGGAAUAUGAGACAGGCAAAAACCCACGCAUAAGC
Molecule: long non-coding RNA, 489 nt
Filed under: Homo sapiens (human)
Lineage: Eukaryota; Metazoa; Chordata; Mammalia; Primates; Hominidae
Description: GARS1 divergent transcript
Source: RNAcentral